This 495-nucleotide ribosomal RNA is filed under the name uncultured bacterium. RNAcentral describes it as "partial 16S ribosomal RNA". It matches the Rfam family "Bacterial small subunit ribosomal RNA", at positions 28 to 507 of the family's 1533-position model. The record is from RNAcentral.
GACGAACGCUAGCGGCGUGCCUAAUACAUGCAAGUAGAACGCUGAAGGAGGAGCUUGCUUCUCUGGAUGAGUUGCGAACGGGUGAGUAACGCGUAGGUAACCUGCCUGGUAGCGGGGGAUAACUAUUGGAAACGAUAGCUAAUACCGCAUAAGAGUAGAUGUUGCAUGACAUUUACUUAAAAGGUGCAAUUGCAUCACUACCAGAUGGACCUGCGUUGUAUUAGCUAGUUGGUGAGGUAACGGCUCACCAAGGCAACGAUACAUAGCCGACCUGAGAGGGUGAUCGGCCACACUGGGACUGAGACACGGCCCAGACUCCUACGGGAGGCAGCAGUAGGGAAUCUUCGGCAAGGGACGGAAGUCUGACCGAGCAACGCCGCGGGAGUGAAGAAGGUUUUCGGAUCGUAAAGCUCUGUUGUAAGAGAAGAACGAGUGUGAGAGUGGAAAGUUCACACUGUGACGGUAUCUUACCAGAAAGGGACGGCUAACUACGUG